RNAcentral lists this transfer RNA (75 nucleotides) under Schistocerca americana (American grasshopper). RNAcentral's name for it is "tRNA-Thr". It matches the Rfam family "tRNA". Rfam says of the family: Transfer RNA (tRNA) molecules are approximately 80 nucleotides in length. Their secondary structure includes four short double-helical elements and three loops (D, anti-codon, and T loops). RNAcentral also lists the same sequence under 2 other names. The record is from RNAcentral. Lineage: Eukaryota; Metazoa; Arthropoda; Insecta; Orthoptera; Acrididae.
GCCCUCGGUGGCUCAGAUGGAUAGAGCGUCUGCCAUGUAAGCAGAAGAUCCCGGGUUCGAGUCCCGGCCGGUGCA